Molecule: long non-coding RNA, 250 nt
Organism: Choloepus didactylus (southern two-toed sloth)
Lineage: Eukaryota; Metazoa; Chordata; Mammalia; Pilosa; Megalonychidae
Exons: 3
Source: RefSeq, a predicted model, not a curated record
GAGGGCGGGCCGGGCGCCGGGGUACUCGCGGCCGCCGCCAGAGGGCAGCCAGGGAGCGCGCCCGGCCGGCCAGGGCCGACCCCCCAGGAUUCAGCCUUUCCGUUCAACUCGAAUCCAGUCGAAACAUACUUUGAUUUAUGGUGUGAGAUGCUGCAUUUUUUACAAAUUGAAGGUUUGGGCAACCCUGCCUCAGGCAAGUCUAUUGGGGUCACUUUUCCAACAGCAUGUGCACACUUUGUGUCUCUGUGCC